CAAAAACAUGUCUUCUUGUUAAGAAGUCUGACCUGCCCAGUGAAUUUUAACGGCCGCGGUAUAUUGACCGUGCAAAGGUAGCAUAAUCAUUAGUCUUUUAAUAGGGGGCUGGAAUGAAGGGUUUGACGAGGUGUUUACUGUCUCAUUUUAUUUGAUCUUAAAAUUUAACUUACAGUCAAAAGGCUGUAAUAAUAUUGGAAGACGAGAAGACCCUAUAGAGCUUUAUAUAUAUUUUGUUGGGGUGACAAAAAUAUAUAAUGAACUUUUUUAUUUAUUAAACGUUGAUAAAUGAUUAGGAGAUCCAAUCUUAUUGAUUGUUAGAACAAGUUACCUUAGGGAUAACAGCGUAAUCUUUCUUCAGAGUUCAUAUUUACAAGGCUUGCGACCUC
RNAcentral lists this ribosomal RNA (389 nucleotides) under Neopetalia punctata. RNAcentral describes it as "partial 16S ribosomal RNA". It matches the Rfam family "Archaeal large subunit ribosomal RNA", at positions 1900 to 2596 of the family's 2987-position model. The record is from RNAcentral. Lineage: Eukaryota; Metazoa; Arthropoda; Insecta; Odonata; Neopetaliidae.